CCUACGGGAGGCAGCAGUAGGGAAUAUUGCUCAAUGGGGGAAACCCUGAAGCAGCAACGCCGCGUGGAGGAUGACGGUUUUAGGAUUGUAAACUCCUUUUGUUAGAGAAGAUUAUGACGGUAUCUAACGAAUAAGCACCGGCUAACUCCGUGCCAGCAGCCGCGGUAAUACGGAGGGUGCAAGCGUUACUCGGAAUCACUGGGCUUAAAGAGUGCGUAGGCGGGGUAAUAAGUCAGAUGUGAAAUGCUGUAGCUUAACUACAGAACUGCAUUUGAAACUGUUACUCUGGAGUGUGGGAGAGGUAGGUGGAAUUCUUGGUGUAGGGGUAAAAUGCGUAGAGAUCAAGAGGAAUACUCAUUGCGAAGGCGACCUGCUGGAACAUUACUGACGCUGAGGCACGAAAGCGUGGGGAGCAAACAGGAUUAGAUACCCGUGUAGUC
This 440-nucleotide ribosomal RNA is filed under the name uncultured bacterium. RNAcentral describes it as "partial 16S ribosomal RNA". It matches the Rfam family "Bacterial small subunit ribosomal RNA", at positions 338 to 795 of the family's 1533-position model. The record is from RNAcentral.